This is a long non-coding RNA of Equus caballus (horse), 1786 nucleotides long. The record is from Ensembl. NCBI's taxonomy places the organism in Eukaryota, Metazoa, Chordata, Mammalia, Perissodactyla, Equidae.
GAGAGGGAGCAGAAAAGCCAGGGGAGGGAGCACAUUCCCAGUUAGGGGAGGAGGGUUACUUAUUUAUCAUUUAUUUACUCACUGAACCUGUACAGAUACUGAGAGGCCAGAGAAGAGGGUGAAGUAGAAGAAACGGGACAGAGAGGGCAAAACAAUCAUGGGGAGGGGAGAAAGCUGGAAGAGAUGAGACCCAAGAACACCAGGGGAGACAUUAGCAGCAGACAAGAAAACACCUUCUAUUUUAUUUUAUUUCUGAUUUAUUAAUUUGUCAUUACACAAACAAUACAUGAAUGCAUACUCAAAAACAUCAAACAUUACAGUUAAAGCUGAUGCACUCCACCAAACUACUGUUAACAGUUUGGUUAAUAUCCUUUCAGACCGUCCCUCUACAUCCGUGUAAUACACAAGCAGGUGCGUAAGCGGUACACUAUACAGUGUGUGUGAAUGUGUGUGGCAUGUGCUUCCACAUCAAUGCUAUCAUAUGUAUGACAUGUACUGUCCUUCAAUUUUUCCCCAAACUUUAAAAAAACUGAACAUUGUAUUUUAGAGAUCUUUCCAUGUCAGCACAUGUAGGACUCAUUCUUUUUCACUGAUGGCUAGUAUUUUAUAAUGUAUACCAUGCUCCAUCUUCUUGGUAUUUUGGUUUUUCCAAUUUUAUACUAUUAUAAACAAAGAUGCAAUUGAUAUCAUUGUACAAGCCACCUUGUGAACACAGGUAUAUAGAGUGUGUUUUAUUAAAAACUGGAAUUGUUGGGUCACAGGGCAUGUGAAUUUUAAAUUUUAAUGGAUACCACUCAAUUGCCUUCAAAAGUGGCUGUGCCAAUUUAUACACUCACCAACAACGUAGGAUUUUCCCUCAUCCUUGCCAGCUCUUGAUUUACAUAUACUUCAAAUAUUUGCCAACUGGAUCUGAGCUAGUUUCUUGUGUUUUAAUGUGCAUUUCCCUUAUUUUGCUGAGGUUGGGCAGCCCUUCGUAACCUAUUUGUAAACCUUUUUGCUCAUGUGCAUUUUCACAGGGGAAUUUCUAAAAGGAAUAUGUGACCAGAACUCCUAAGACUCACUGCUAGUCUAGCUGGAAUUAACUUUGCUGAGUUAGAGAUCUAAAUUUAUUUUUUUCCCAAGUGGUUACAUUGUCUCAAUACUAUUUGUUGAAUAAUCCAUUCUUCCCCUACUGAUUUGAAAUGUCACAUUUAUCAUUUAUUCAAUAUAUACUUGUGUUUGUUUCUGGAUUCUCAGUUUUAUCAGAAUUUAUUUUUGGCACCAGGCACCUGAGUUAUUCUUAACUUGGGUCACUGAAUGGUAGCUGAUUUUUGUCAGCCAAGGAAGUGAGUGUGUUGCUUACGAGACACUAGGUGAUCUAAUUCAUGAUGCACAAAUCCUAUUCUAGCCGUUUGAUUUAACUCAGUUUCUUUACCUACAAUGUGUACUAGGAAAAUGUGUCCAUUCUCUCUGAGAUCAGCCCCUCCUUUUUAGGGGACACCUCAAUAGGCUCAAUGUAGAGACAGGCGGCUUCUCACCAGGUCCCCUCUUUCUAAAAAAGAAUUAUUUGAUGUUAAAGCUUUUUGGUGAUUUAAAUUUGUUUCCUGGCAAUGUCAAAGGGUUUUGCGUGGCAUGGCAACAUGACUGUUGGUUUACAUGAACCUUUCAUUCAACAACUGACAUGAGGCCCAGGAGUGACCAGAAUUCUGAACUUGGCAGAUAUACCAUCAUCUCUGACCUGCGACAAUUCUUUGUGAUUAGUGGCAGUUCUGAUUAUCCAUCACUGGGGGCUUGAUGAUACAGCAUU